GACGAACGCUGGCGGCGUGCUUAACACAUGCAAGUCGAACGGAAAGGCCCUGCUUUUGUGGGGUGCUCGAGUGGCGAACGGGUGAGUAACACGUGAGUAACCUGCCCUUGACUUUGGGAUAACUUCAGGAAACUGGGGCUAAUACCGGAUAGGAGCUCCUGCUGCAUGGUGGGGGUUGGAAAGUUUCGGCGGUUGGGGAUGGACUCGCGGCUUAUCAGCUUGUUGGUGGGGUAGGUGCUUACCAAGGCUUUGACGGGUAGCCGGCCUGAGAGGGUGACCGGCCACAUUGGGACUGAGAUACGGCCCAGACUCCUACGGGAGGCAGCAGGGGGGAAUAUUGCACAAUGGGCGGAAGCCUGAUGCAGCCACGCCGCGUGCGGGAUGACGGCCUUCGGGUUGUAAACCGCUUUCGCCUGUGACGAAGCGUGAGUGACGGUAAUGGGUAAAGAAGCACCGGCUAACUACGUG
This 468-nucleotide ribosomal RNA is filed under the name uncultured bacterium. RNAcentral's name for it is "partial 16S ribosomal RNA". It matches the Rfam family "Bacterial small subunit ribosomal RNA", at positions 28 to 507 of the family's 1533-position model. The record is from RNAcentral.